GAGAUUGGCCACGGCGCAGCCCCCAGUCCCCAUCCCCAAUUCCUCUCCCUCUCCCUUUCCCUCGUCUGCCGCCGCCAGCCCCACCCCCGCCCUCCCCGCAGCCGCCGCCACCACCGGCGCCCAGGUGUGGCGCUGCUCUUCCCCACGGUCCUGACGGCAAGGCGGCGACAAGAGUUAGAAGGCAGACGCGGACGGCCCCGUCAGAUCUCGUCCCGAUGAAGUCAAGGACGAGCUCCACCCGGACGAGGUCGAUCCGCCCCCCUGCCACACUUCUCCAUCGCGUCACCAUAUUUGGAGGAGCCGCGACUGCUGCUUGCGCAUCUGCUCCUCCCGGAGUUGUCGCCAUCGGCAGGAGGAGUGCCGGACCGCGCGCCAACUCGAGGACCGCCGCUCCGGCGGACCGUUGUUUCUGGCCGCCGCCCUCCUCUGGUGCGCCGUCUCGGCCUCCCCCACCAGGAGCAGCAGCAGCGCCACAUCGGCACCGCCGCGCACCUCGCCGCCGGAGGCUUCGCUGGCAUCGUCAGCAAGACCUGCACCGCGCCCCUCGCCCGCCUCACCAUCCUCUUCCAGGUUUUGAUCGCUCCGGAAGUCACAUCGUCGUCAACUAAGCAGUGAUCAAUGAGCUGGUGAACCUGCACAGGGCGUCUUAUCUCGGUGGGAGGCUGCCGGCGAACAAUGGCAGGAAGAGCCUAUACACGGCAGGCCCGUUGCCUUUCACUUAUGAAGAGUUUCAUAUCACUCUGCAUGACGAUAAUGAUGGCUCUGGCUCCCAUAGGCGACAAAGGAAUUUUAAGGUGGUGGUUAAGUUCGCCGCGUGACAUCUACAAAUGAAUUUACAAGUGAUUGAUCCAUGGAGUUCAGGCGACAACAACAGCUAGCUCCGUACAGGCUAAAGUGUGACAGGGAACCGCUGAACAACAAGUUUGCGGUGCAGUCAGUGGGAAAUUGGCAGAUACUUCCCUCACAACGUUGGCACUGAUAUGUCUGUGGCCAUGUUCAGCCGGCUCCAGGUAUCUAGCUAUGGUUGUCGCUGCUACGGAGGCCAGAGGAGGAAGCUACGCUCUUCCAUGGCGGCCAGAGGAGGAGGAGGCACUUCUCCGGUCAGAUCAGUGGCUACCAUGUCGCCGUCAACGUCCACCCUCCUCGACAGAUCAACUUACUCCCAAGGCAACUGCUCCUGAUCUUGAACACGAGCUUGGAAAUCUGGCACCGACAUAUGCAGCUGCCGGUCAAAUUUCUCCAUAUUUUGGUUUGGAGAUUUUUGGAAGGAACAGUUGUUUAAUUGCUCAGAACCAUCUCUCAAAUGGAAACAUACAGCGAAGUUUUUCAGUACAUGAGUUAUAUUGGAAACAGCAGCGCAUCUGGAACUCUCAGUAGGGGUGAUUUUCUUGUCAAAGGAUAUAUAAAGGGACAUUAGUUGCGCUGGUUAUCAUGCUUUAUUAGAAGGCAAGCUAGAGUCCAUUGUUCAAAGUACACCUGGAAAUCCGCAGGCUACCAUUUUAUAAGGAGAAGGAUUACAGAAAGGAAGGAUCAAGCCUUGUCGGCAAUAUAAUCCAUGUGGUGUCAAUCAGCAUGUGGGAAACAAUGUCCAUGUCCUAUAAAUGGGGCAUGCUGUGAGAAAUAUUGUGGGCAAGCUAGCUGAAUCAUAGUCUUAACAAGUGACAUCCCAAUGAUAGAAAAAUGAAGAUUAUUUGCAGUAGCAUUCCAUAUGUUAUGCAUUCUGUAUUUGCAAGCACCAGUUUGACAAGAACUGUUUGAUUAUUCAAUGUUCAGGGGACAAUCCCAACAACAAUUGCAGGUACUUUAGCGUUGUCUCUAUGAUUCUUGCAUGAGUUGCUGGUGUUGUCAUUUUCAAUUCAGUGUUAUAUCAUUUAACAAUCACAAUCCAGUCAGUAGGCCUGGCGGAAAGGAAUUAAGAUGCACACUGGCAAGAAGAAGAUCCAGAAGGACAAGGGCGUCGAGACCUCUGAAUUCGAGGAUACCAUCGCGCAGGGGCUCACCACAAAUCACUUGCAAGAAGGGCUCAGUUCUAAAACUAAGGUUAUGCUUCACCAAGGAUUUGAAGGGUCCCUCGCCGUGCCGUGGACACGAUUCAGCCAUGCUGGAGCAGUGUGCGAACGAGCCACGAGCCGACGUGGUGGGGUGGCUUGGCUGGUCUUGCUCUGGCGAGCCACCGCCGACGCUGCCCGUCUCGAUCUCGCCCCGUGUCUCCUUCAAGCUAUGGUGUUGGACGUUGAGGACAACAAAGAAAGCAGUGGAACUGCAGUCCAUCCACGUUUGAGAGUUGUGCUUGUGCACAUUGGUAAAAUAGCUAAGUUGCAGGUUGUUAGAAGUUCUACGGUUCCACUUAUAUGGAAAGAGACAAGAUUCAUUUUCAUUGCUUGUCACGGAUUUCGAUUCUUCACAUAAAACUUUGACCAAAGAGCUCAUCAAUGAUGUGUGCAUGUGCUAA
This is a long non-coding RNA of Triticum dicoccoides, 2452 nucleotides long. RefSeq lists it as uncharacterized. The record is from RefSeq and is a predicted model, not a curated record. The transcript has 11 exons. NCBI's taxonomy places the organism in Eukaryota, Viridiplantae, Streptophyta, Magnoliopsida, Poales, Poaceae.